UGCACACCUAGCCGAGCGAACUAUCAAACAGCAACUACAGUUCGCAGCCAUUAGUGGUGACCUUAGCAACGAGCAAAGCUCUUUGUCCACCAGAGAGUUGAGGCAGAGCAUCUGAGGAAAAAGCCAGAAAACAUUUUCUUCAUAAAAUAUGAUCCAGUUUCACCAAAAUCAGUGACAGCUGGUGGUGUGUGACGUAGUGCCAUGAAGUGUUUCGUCCUUUUCGUGGGAGAUUGUACCCUCUCAACACAAGCUACACAGUGCUAGAACAGGUGUUCAGAGCGCAGAGUGGCACUGAAAGAGCUAAGAACUAAUUUGAAGGCAAACGUGGUUCCCACAGAAGAAUGAGAGGACUGCACCGAAAACAAUUUUUGUAUCCAACAAUGACGACCACUUCAGGCACCGACUGGCCAGGCAUGUGGAGCAUUUUACAUCCCAACAAUCUUCGGUCUAAGUGACUCGUGUGACUUGGCAUGAGAUCUAAGGAUCUGGAUGAUAGCAUGUGGGCUGCAUGUGUGCUUAAUGACUGGUGUCCGUCCUGCACGAGCCUCAUUCCUCAGAGCCGGCUUCGCUGUUUGAGAUGCUCUGUGCCACUGGAGUUGCAUAAUAGCUUCAAGUCACGCUAGGUCAAGAUGUUUUUAAAAAUUACAGUCUAAAGAAAGUAAGAAGAAAAAAAUAGAUAACUAGGGAGAGAAAGUGAAAGGGAAGGAAUAAAGGACACGUAAAAUGUUUUCCUGGUAGGUCUAAAAUUCUCAGACUGAAGCAAGAGUUGAUAAAAGCAAUAUAAAUUAACAUGUAAAGCAAAGGUGGCGGCACAGCUAUCAUAGUCAAAGUGUACAUGCUGUAGCUUACAACUGGUGCGGCUCUGAGAUUAAUAAGCACUGACCAUAAGCACAGUCAGAGCUGAGGACAACAGAUGCGUAUCUGACAAAGCAAAUUGUAUCUUAUAGACAUAAACAUAAAGAACUGAGGGGUUCUGUUCUAAGAGGUAGUCAAAUAGUGUCAGGUGCCUUCCUGAAAAAGUUCCUGUUUUAAUUCUCUUUGAAAAUGUAUUAAAUGUAUGGCCUGAAAUACACCUCCUGAACUGUUCUAGAAAUUGACAUGUGACAUAAAUCUGUUUACACGGUCACAUUGUGGGGACUCGCCCUGCGUAUGGGGACAUAAUGCACGUCCCUGUAAUAUAAAUGAUUAAAUUUUAGCCCACAGAUAGGUAAAGUUAGGGUGAGGGUUAGGAUUAGGCAGGUCUUCUGGGAGUGGCCUUUUAACUGUACCCAAAGUUAUAACUAAAACAUACAGGGAGGCAUCUUUUCAUUACUAUGCCCCCCGUUUAUGGAAUAGGCUGCCUGAAGAUCUGAGGGCGACAUGUAAUAUUAAUAGUUUUAAACUUAAGACCCAUCUUUUUAGUCUGGCCUUUAACAAUUUUUUUAUUUAGUCCAUUUUAGGUACUUUAUCAUAUUUUAUGUAUUUU
Molecule: long non-coding RNA, 1465 nt
Organism: Chelmon rostratus (copperband butterflyfish)
Lineage: Eukaryota; Metazoa; Chordata; Actinopteri; Chaetodontiformes; Chaetodontidae
Exons: 3
Source: RefSeq, a predicted model, not a curated record